UACGGAGGGUGCAAGCGUUAAUCGGAAUUACUGGGCGUAAAGCGUGCGCAGGCGGUUCGUUGUGUCGGCGGUGAAAGCCCCGGGCUUAACCUGGGAAUGGCCGUCGAAACUGGCGAACUGGAGUGUGGCAGAGGGGGGUGGAAUUCCGCGUGUAGCAGUGAAAUGCGUAGAGAUGCGGAGGAACACCGAUGGCGAAGGCAGCCCCCUGGGCUGACACUGACGCCUCAGGCACGAAAGCGUGGGGAGCAAACAGG
Molecule: ribosomal RNA, 254 nt
Filed under: uncultured bacterium
Lineage: Bacteria
Description: partial 16S ribosomal RNA
Rfam family: Bacterial small subunit ribosomal RNA
Source: RNAcentral